CAGAAGAUGGUAGCCAUCACUAGGCCUGACCUUUGUUGUUGUCUCGGCCUCCCAAGACCAGUACAAGUGUGUACAACGACAGUGACAGCGAACCAAUCAACAACCCACCACCAAUCGAGGACACCACCACUAUUGCCCAGUCACCGUCUACCCCACCAUCACUGACCCUUUGGCCACGACCUCCUGUUGUGCUUACCUAUUAGAGCCGUCCGCAUGCCCCACCUAGGUCACUGAUUGUUGAACCAAGCACCAGCCACUACAGAACAUCCUCGAAGUCUUUCUCCUCCUUAUCUCCUCACGGGCGGAAAUGGCCUACUGCUGCAUCUUCUCUCCAGUGUCCUACCACCUGACGUUCUAGUCAGGUGCACGAUAGAUUCACAACGAGUAGUUCUUCUACAUCCUCUAAUGAUCACACCACUCCUGACUUUGGUAAGGAUUUUCCCACAUCCCUGCCUGUCCAUGACUCCUCGUGAACCCUAAUAUUCAACAAGCUUACUAAGUGCACCCAAUAUGAUGCUAUCUCCUCCCUCCCCUACAUGGAAGAAAAACAUAAGAAUAGCUAACUGAACGAACAUCCUGAGAAAAUUUGCUGGACAAGGCUUGACCUGCGAUUUCUGAUCCUGUUCCCCCAGAGUCAAAAUUUGCCCAAAGGCUCUAGGUAGAAGCUGCUGAAUGACCCAAUCAAUAUUGGACCUAAAUCUUGCCCAAACCUUUAGGCAAACCGCCAGUCUAUAAUAGAAAGCGCGACUGACUUGGAAAAGAAAAAAAAAUUAGAUCUACUCAUUUAAAGAUGCAAAAUUCCAUGCGAUGUCACCCUAGAAAGUGCGGCAUGAUCUCUCCAAAAGUGAAGGAAUCUCCACCCCUCAAGAAAACAAAUCAAAGGAGUUAUUUCAUUAAAGAUAUUCAAAUCAAGUUUUUUAGGAAAGAUUAGUGAGGGUUCUGCUAGGGUUCAACUACUAUAAAUACCAUGCUUAUCGACUGCAGCAAUCAUCUUCACUUCUGUUGAAUUUUUUUCUUUCUUUUUAUACUUUCUUUCAGUCAUGUGUGGCUAACUUUUUUAGUUCUAGUUGGAGAUAGGUUAAAGUUUCAGUUUCUUCAUGGAUUGUGAGAUCUAAACAUUAUUGUUCAUUUUUAUUAUUCCAAUAUUUAUACAACUUUAGUUAUUACUA
Long non-coding RNA from Manihot esculenta (cassava), 1169 nucleotides. RefSeq lists it as uncharacterized. NCBI's taxonomy places the organism in Eukaryota, Viridiplantae, Streptophyta, Magnoliopsida, Malpighiales, Euphorbiaceae. The transcript has 2 exons. The record is from RefSeq and is a predicted model, not a curated record.